Molecule: non-coding RNA, 46 nt
Organism: Schistosoma rodhaini
Lineage: Eukaryota; Metazoa; Platyhelminthes; Trematoda; Strigeidida; Schistosomatidae
Source: Rfam
GCACUGCUGAGGAGUCCCAUAAUAGGACGAAACGGCCGCCCAGUGC